RNAcentral lists this ribosomal RNA (254 nucleotides) under uncultured bacterium. Its description in RNAcentral is "partial 16S ribosomal RNA". It matches the Rfam family "Bacterial small subunit ribosomal RNA", at positions 524 to 776 of the family's 1533-position model. The record is from RNAcentral.
UACGUAGGGUGCGAGCGUUAAUCGGAAUUACUGGGCGUAAAGGGUGCGCAGGCGGUCUCGUAAGCUGGGUGUGAAAGCCCCGGGCUUAACCUGGGAAUGGCAUUCAGGACUGCGAGGCUUUGAGUGUGGCAGAGGGAGGUGGAAUUCCACGUGUAGCAGUGAAAUGCGUAGAGAUGUGGAGGAACACCGAUGGCGAAGGCAGCCUCCUGGACCUGUUCUGACGCUGAGGAGCGAAAGCGUGGGGAGCGAUCCGG